This 1096-nucleotide ribosomal RNA is filed under the name Synechococcus sp. RCC524. RNAcentral's name for it is "bacterial SSU rRNA". It matches the Rfam family "Bacterial small subunit ribosomal RNA", at positions 140 to 1270 of the family's 1533-position model. Lineage: Bacteria; Bacillati; Cyanobacteriota; Cyanophyceae; Synechococcales; Synechococcaceae. The record is from RNAcentral.
GGGAUAACGGUUGGAAACGGCCGCUAAUACCCCAUAUGCCGAGAGGUGAAAUGAAUUUCGCGUGAAAUGAGCCCGCGUCUGAUUAGCUUGUUGGUGAGGUAAGAGCUCACCAAGGCAUCGAUCAGUAGCUGGUCUGAGAGGAUGAUCAGCCACACUGGGACUGAGACACGGCCCAGACUCCUACGGGAGGCAGCAGUGGGGAAUUUUCCGCAAUGGGCGAAAGCCUGACGGAGCAACGCCGCGUGAGGGAUGAAGGCCUCUGGGCUGUAAACCUCUUUUAUCAAGGAAGAAGAUCUGACGGUACUUGAUGAAUAAGCCACGGUUAAUUCCGUGCCAGCAGCCGCGGUAAUACGGGAGUGGCAAGCGUUAUCCGGAAUUAUUGGGCGUAAAGCGUCCGCAGGCGGCCCUACAAGUCUGCUGUUAAAAAGUGGAGCUUAACUCCAUCAUGGCAGUGGAAACUGUUGGGCUUGAGUGUGGUAGGGGCAGAGGGAAUUCCCGGUGUAGCGGUGAAAUGCGUAAAUAUCGGGAAGAACACCAGUGGCGAAGGCGCUCUGCUGGGCCAUCACUGACGCUCAUGGACGAAAGCCAGGGGAGCGAAAGGGAUUAGAUACCCCUGUAGUCCUGGCCGUAAACGAUGAACACUAGGUGUCGGGGGAAUCGACCCCUCCGGUGUCGUAGCCAACGCGUUAAGUGUUCCGCCUGGGGAGUACGCACGCAAGUGUGAAACUCAAAGGAAUUGACGGGGGCCCGCACAAGCGGUGGAGUAUGUGGUUUAAUUCGAUACAACGCGAAGAACCUUUCCAGGGUUUGACAUCCUGCGAAUCUCUUGGAAACUUUGAGAGUGCCUUCGGGAGCGCAGUGACAGGUGGUGCAUGGCUGUGGUCAGCUCGUGUCGUGAGAUGUUGGGUUAAGUCCCGCAACGAGCGCAACCCACGUCUUUAGUUGCCAGCAUUUAGUUGGGCACUCUAGAGAGACCACCGGUGAUAAACCGGAGGAAGGUGUGGAUGACGUCAAGUCAUCAUGCCCCUUACAUCCUGGCGUAGACUCGUAGUACAAUGCUACGGACAAAGGGCAGCAAGUUCGCGAGGACAAGCAA